AACAGUCCUGGAAGCUGCAGUCCUCUCCCCAUCAUAGAUGUGCAGCAAAGUUUAGAAGCUGUGCAGGCUUCCCCUGACACUGCCCUGCCAAUGUACUCAACCCUGACCUGAAGGGACCACCUCUAGGGAUGUAAGUCAUUUGUAGCUUGUUAAAGUGGCAGAUAAGCUACU
This is an unclassified non-coding RNA of Chrysemys picta bellii (western painted turtle), 171 nucleotides long. The record is from Ensembl. NCBI's taxonomy places the organism in Eukaryota, Metazoa, Chordata, Testudines, Emydidae.